RNAcentral lists this ribosomal RNA (497 nucleotides) under uncultured bacterium. Its description in RNAcentral is "partial 16S ribosomal RNA". It matches the Rfam family "Bacterial small subunit ribosomal RNA", at positions 28 to 507 of the family's 1533-position model. The record is from RNAcentral.
GAUGAACGCUGGCGGCGUGCCUAAUACAUGCAAGUCGAGCGAACAGAUGAGGAGCUUGCUCCUCUGACGUUAGCGGCGGACGGGUGAGUAACACGUGGAUAACCUACCUAUAAUACUGGGAUAACUUCGGGAAACCGGAGCUAAUACCGGAUAAUAUAUUGAACCGCAUGGUUCAAUAGUGAAAGACGGUUUUGCUGUCACUUAUAGAUGGAUCCGCGCCGCAUUAGCUAGUUGGUAAGGUAACGGCUUACCAAGGCAACGAUGCGUAGCCGACCUGAGAGGGUGAUCGGCGACACGGGAAGGGAGACACGGUCAAGACUACUACGGGAGGCAGCAGUAGGGAAUCUUCCGCAAUGGGCGAAAGCCUGACGGAGCAACGCCGCGUGAGUGAUGAAGGUCUUCGGAUCGUAAAACUCUGUUAUUAGGGAAGAACAAAUGUGUAAGUAACUAUGCACGUCUUGACGGUAACUAAUCAGAAAGCCACGGCUAACUACAUG